UACAGAGGUCUCAAGCGUUGUUCGGAUUCAUUGGGCGUAAAGGGUGCGUAGGCGGCGCGGUAAGUCGGGUGUGAAAUCUCGGAGCUUAACUCCGAAACUGCAUUCGAUACUGCCGUGCUUGAGGACUGGAGAGGAGACUGGAAUUUACGGUGUAGCGGUGAAAUGCGUAGAUAUUGGGAGGAACACCAGAUGCGAAGGCGGGUCACUGGGCUGAUACUGACGCUAAAGCGCGAAAGCCAGGGGAGCGAACGGG
RNAcentral lists this ribosomal RNA (253 nucleotides) under uncultured bacterium. RNAcentral describes it as "partial 16S ribosomal RNA". It matches the Rfam family "Bacterial small subunit ribosomal RNA", at positions 524 to 776 of the family's 1533-position model. The record is from RNAcentral.